GGGCAACGGUAGGUCAGUAUGCUCCGAAUGCUAUGGGCUACACGCGCAAUACAAAGGACAGGACAAUGGGCUGCUGCUCCGAAAGGAAUGAUAGCUAUCCCGAAACCUGUUCGUAGUUCGGAUUGAGGGCUGUAACUCGCCCUCAUGAAGCUGGAUUAGGUAGUAAUCGCGUCUCAAAAAGGCGCGGUGAAUAUGCCCCUGCUCCUUGCACACACCGCCCGUCAAA
RNAcentral lists this ribosomal RNA (226 nucleotides) under uncultured archaeon. RNAcentral describes it as "partial 16S ribosomal RNA". It matches the Rfam family "Archaeal small subunit ribosomal RNA", at positions 1133 to 1357 of the family's 1478-position model. The record is from RNAcentral.